UACGAAGGGGGCUAGCGUUGCUCGGAAUCACUGGGCGUAAAGGGUGCGUAGGCGGUCGUGACAAGUCACUUGUGAAAUCUCCGGGCUUAACUCGGAACGGUCAAGUGAUACUGUCGGACUAGAGUACAGAAGGGGCAACUGGAAUUCUCGGUGUAGCGGUGAAAUGCGUAGAUAUCGAGAGGAACACCUGCGGCGAAGGCGGGUUGCUGGGCUGAUACUGACGCUGAGGCGCGAAAGCCAGGGGAGCGAACGGG
Molecule: ribosomal RNA, 254 nt
Filed under: uncultured bacterium
Lineage: Bacteria
Description: partial 16S ribosomal RNA
Rfam family: Bacterial small subunit ribosomal RNA
Source: RNAcentral